This 72-nucleotide transfer RNA is filed under the name Paralemanea sp. RNAcentral's name for it is "tRNA-Lys". It matches the Rfam family "tRNA". From Rfam's summary of the family: Transfer RNA (tRNA) molecules are approximately 80 nucleotides in length. The record is from RNAcentral. Lineage: Eukaryota; Rhodophyta; Florideophyceae; Batrachospermales; Lemaneaceae.
GAGUAUAUAGCUUAAUGGUAAAGCAGUAAACUUUUAAUUUAUUGGUUUUAGGUUCGAAUCCUAAUAUACUCA